CCUUAGAAGUAGAAAGUAGAGGUCGCCACGAGUUCGCAGCAUUUUUCGGUAAAUUUUUCGAGUUCCCGAGCUAUUUUUAAGGAAAUUUUGAAGUUUUGUUGGAAAUUAAAUUAUCUGGCGACGUGGCGUGUCCUUAUUGGUUGAUAGGCUUAACUUGGAGACCAAGUAGCAGCUGCCAAACGUGUCUUGCAUGUGCAAGAUAAGUUUGACACAUGUCAAGUGGUGGCACUAUGUUUGUUAUAUGCUUGACAAAUGGCAUAAGCAUGAUGAUGGAUGGUUUUGGUUUGGACAAGUGGCCUAUUUCUAUUGGUGUUCUUUCCCUAUAAAUAGAACCCAACCAGAUCAUUAUUUCCCCACAAUUUUCGGAGCUUUCUCUCUCCUACAUUUCUCUCUUCCAUUUUCUCUCUCUAGGAUUUGUUUUUGGCAUAACUUUUGAUCCGUAAGUCCGAUUUAGGAUCCGUUUUCGCCUACGGAUUCGUCUUGACGAGCUCUUUCUAUUGGUGGAAAGAAAAUUCAGAUUUGGUGAAACUAUUUUUUGACGACCUAGGAGGCUUGAUUUUAUUUUGUAUCAUCCACGAUUGUCGAAAAUAAGGUAGGGGGAUCUCGGGGAAACUUUUUAUGAUUGGAUGUUGAUUUUAUGUGCUUCGUGUAUAUGUUAUUCUUAUUAAUAUUAUUUUUAAAUGAUUUAUUUGAUAAUAUUUGAAUUACAUGUACUAAAUGUACGUUGAUCGAUGUAAGUGCAUGUUUUCAUGGAGGUUGUUGUUUAUCAAGUGUAAAGGAGUUGGGGGAAAAUUAUGGUUAUUUGGUGAUUGUGGGAAUUAUCUUUUGUGUAGUUGAGUUUGAACAUUGUAGGGAUCAAGCUCAGGCGAGCCCGUGUGCACAAUUAGGUUUAGAAUAUCGGCGGUAUAAUUGUCGAUAUAUUUGGGUGAUUUGGGCUUGGAGAUCAAUGUUUCAGACAAGAUGACUGGCAAAAGGGGUUUUGGGGGAUUUGAUUGAGUCAGGGGAUUAAUUUAUAUGUUUGGAUAUUCAAGUCACAGUUGCAAAACUGUAAAGUACACGGUAUGGGACGUGUAGGCUUGCGUAUUCUGAUAUAUGAAUUAACGGGUAUAUAAAUGGAGUUGGAUUGCAUCAUUGUUUGAUAUGCAUGUUAUAAUUGAAAUAUAUGAUGGUAUUAUCUUUGGUCAAUUAUCCAUGAGGAAGUUUUAUGUCCCUACUGAGCCGCUGGUUGAGCUCACCCCUUAACAGAUUUUGCAGGUAUGGAAUCAAGAUACUAGAGCAAGAAGUUCCGAUAUGUAUAUAAUGUCAAAUGGGUUGUGAAAUUUGUGUUUUCUUUAUGUUUGUUUGGAAUAAAGAAUGAGUACUAGUGUACUAUGUGAUAAAGACAAUGUAAUAUAUGUUUCCGCUGGAAUUUUGAGGUCUUGUUAUUUAGUUGUUAGUCCACGAUUUAUUUAUUUAUUGUCACAUUUUGAUUAUAGAAAUUUUAGUUCUAUAAUUAAGAUGUGAUUCACACCUUAACUCGAGAUUAUAAGAAUAGCUCGAGUCAGGGCGUGACAAGAUGGUAUCAGAGCUAACCAGAGAUUAGAAACCCAGGAUCUGUGGUAGGUUAAAUUGUAGUGACAUAGCCUAGAGCCAUAAGUGUUUUGGGUAUUUUGAAGUGGAGUGAAUUUCGGGACGAAAUUCUUUUAAGGAGGUUGGAUUGUGAGAUCCCGAAUUUUGAAAUUGGUCAAAUUUUAUUUUUUACCUUAGAAGUAGAAAGUAGAGGUCGCCACGAGUUCGCAGCAUUUUUCGGUAAAUUUUUCGAGUUCCCGAGCUAUUUUUAAGGAAAUUUUGAAGUUUUGUUGGAAAUUAAAUUAUCUGGCGACGUGGCGUGUCCUUAUUGGUUGAUAGGCUUAACUUGGAGACCAAGUAGCAGCUGCCAAACGUGUCUUGCAUGUGCAAGAUAAGUUUGACACAUGUCAAGUGGUGGCACUAUGUUUGUUAUAUGCUUGACAAAUGGCAUAAGCAUGAUGAUGGAUGGUUUUGGUUUGGACAAGUGGCCUAUUUCUAUUGGUGUUCUUUCCCUAUAAAUAGAACCCAACCAGAUCAUUAUUUCCCCACAAUUUUCGGAGCUUUCUCUCUCCUACAUUUCUCUCUUCCAUUUUCUCUCUCUAGGAUUUGUUUUUGGCAUAACUUUUGAUCCGUAAGUCCGAUUUAGGAUCCGUUUUCGCCUACGGAUUCGUCUUGACGAGCUCUUUCUAUUGGUGGAAAGAAAAUUCAGAUUUGGUGAAACUAUUUUUUGACGACCUAGGAGGCUUGAUUUUAUUUUGUAUCAUCCACGAUUGUCGAAAAUAAGAUUUUGCAGGUAUGGAAUCAAGAUACUAGAGCAAGAAGUUCCGAUAUGUAUAUAAUGUCAAAUGGGUUGUGAAAUUUGUGUUUUCUUUAUGUUUGUUUGGAAUAAAGAAUGAGUACUAGUGUACUAUGUGAUAAAGACAAUGUAAUAUAUGUUUCCGCUGGAAUUUUGAG
Rosa chinensis is the source of this 2502-nucleotide long non-coding RNA. RefSeq lists it as uncharacterized. Lineage: Eukaryota; Viridiplantae; Streptophyta; Magnoliopsida; Rosales; Rosaceae. The record is from RefSeq and is a predicted model, not a curated record. The transcript has 2 exons.